CGGAGGAAAAGAAACCAACAGGGAUUGCCCCAGUAACGGCGAGUGAAGCGGCAACAGCUCAAAUUUGAAAUCUGGCCCCUCGGGCCCGAGUUGUAAUUUGCAGAGGAUGCUUUUGGCGAGGCGCCGCCCGAGUUCCCUGGAACGGGACGCCGCAGAGGGUGAGAGCCCCGUCUGGCUGGCCGCCGAGCCUCUGUAAAGCUCCUUCGACGAGUCGAGUAGUUUGGGAAUGCUGCUCAAAACGGGAGGUAUAUGUCUUCUAAAGCUAAAUAUUGGCCAGAGACCGAUAGCGCACAAGUAGAGUGAUCGAAAGAUGAAAAGCACCUUGAAAAGGGGGUUAAACAGUACGUGAAAUUGCUGAAAGGGAAGCGCUUGCGACCAGACUUGGGCCCCUCGGAUCACCCGGCGUUCUCGCCGGUGCACUCCGCGUGGGGCACAGGCCAGCAUCGGUUCGCGCCGGGGGACAAAGGCGGCGGGAACGUGGCUCCCCAGGGAGUGUUAUAGCCCGCCGCGCAAUGCCCUGGCGCGGACCGAGGACCGCGCGCUCACGCGCAAGGAUGCUGGCGUAAUGGUCGCCAGCGACCCGUCUUGAAACA
This 593-nucleotide ribosomal RNA is filed under the name Luteomyces trichodermoides. Its description in RNAcentral is "LSU rRNA". It matches the Rfam family "Eukaryotic large subunit ribosomal RNA", at positions 51 to 661 of the family's 3401-position model. The record is from RNAcentral. Lineage: Eukaryota; Fungi; Ascomycota; Sordariomycetes; Hypocreales; Hypocreaceae.